This 492-nucleotide ribosomal RNA is filed under the name uncultured bacterium. RNAcentral's name for it is "partial 16S ribosomal RNA". It matches the Rfam family "Bacterial small subunit ribosomal RNA", at positions 29 to 507 of the family's 1533-position model. The record is from RNAcentral.
AGUGAACGCUGGCGGUAGGCCUAACACAUGCAAGUCGAACGGCAGCACAGUAAGAGCUUGCUCUUACGGGUGGCGAGUGGCGGACGGGUGAGGAAUACAUCGGAAUCUACUUUUUCGUGGGGGAUAACGUAGGGAAACUUACGCUAAUACCGCAUACGACCUACGGGUGAAAGCAGGGGAUCUUCGGACCUUGCGCGAUUGAAUGAGCCGAUGUCGGAUUAGCUAGUUGGCGGGGUAAAGGCCCACCAAGGCGACGAUCCGUAGCUGGUCUGAGAGGAUGAUCAGCCACACUGGAACUGAGACACGGUCCAGACUCCUACGGGAGGCAGCAGUGGGGAAUAUUGGACAAUGGGCGCAAGCCUGAUCCAGCCAUACCGCGUGGGUGAAGAAGGCCUUCGGGUUGUAAAGCCCUUUUGUUGGGAAAGAAGAGCAGCAAGUUAAUACCCCGCUGUUCUGACGGUACCCAAAGAAUAAGCACCGGCUAACUUCGUG